GCCCAAGAGAUCGGGAUAACACCUGGAAACAGAUGCUAAUACCGGAUAACAACAGAUGAUGCCUAUCAACUGCUUAAAAGAUGGUUCUGCUAUCACUCUUGGAUGGACCUGCGGUGCAUUAGCUAGUUGGUAGGGUAACGGCCUACCAAGGCGAUGAUGCAUAGCCGAGUUGAGAGACUGAUCGGCCACAUUGGGACUGAGACACGGCCCAAACUCCUACGGGAGGCAGCAGCG
Molecule: ribosomal RNA, 234 nt
Filed under: uncultured Lactobacillus sp.
Lineage: Bacteria; Bacillati; Bacillota; Bacilli; Lactobacillales; Lactobacillaceae
Description: partial 16S ribosomal RNA
Rfam family: Bacterial small subunit ribosomal RNA
Source: RNAcentral